GGGGCGUUAGCCAAGUGGUCCAAGGCGCCGGCCUGUCUCGCCGGAGAUCAUGGGUUCGAAUCCCAUACGCCUCG
RNAcentral lists this transfer RNA (74 nucleotides) under Gemmatimonadota bacterium. RNAcentral's name for it is "Gemmatimonadetes bacterium (soil metagenome) tRNA-Asp". It matches the Rfam family "tRNA". From Rfam's summary of the family: Transfer RNA (tRNA) molecules are approximately 80 nucleotides in length. Lineage: Bacteria; Pseudomonadati; Gemmatimonadota. The record is from RNAcentral.